GACGAACGCUGGCGGCGUGCUUAACACAUGCAAGUCGAACGGAAAGGCCCCUUUGGGGGUACUCGAGUGGCGAACGGGGGAGUAACACGUGAGUAACCUGCCCUUGACUUCGGGAUAACUUCAGGAAACUGGGGCUAAUACCGGAUAGGAAUCCUUGCUGCAUGGGGGGGGUUGGAAAGCUUCGGCGGGUUUGGAUGGACUCGCGGCAUAUCAGCUUGUUGGUGGGGUAGUGGCUUACCAAGGCGUUGUCGGGUAGCCGGCCUGAGAGGGCGACCGGCCACAUUGGGACUGAGAUACGGCCCAGGCUCCUACGGGAGGCAGCAGUGGGGAAUAUUGCACAAUGGGCGGAAGCCUGAUGCAGCAGCGCCGCGUGCGGGAUGACGGCCUUCGGGUUGUAAACCGCUUUCAGCAGGGGCGAAGCUUGUGGUGACGGUACCUGCAGAAGAAGCACCGGCUAACUACGUG
RNAcentral lists this ribosomal RNA (465 nucleotides) under uncultured bacterium. RNAcentral's name for it is "partial 16S ribosomal RNA". It matches the Rfam family "Bacterial small subunit ribosomal RNA", at positions 28 to 507 of the family's 1533-position model. The record is from RNAcentral.